This is a long non-coding RNA of Pipistrellus kuhlii (Kuhl's pipistrelle), 157 nucleotides long. RefSeq lists it as uncharacterized. The transcript has 3 exons. NCBI's taxonomy places the organism in Eukaryota, Metazoa, Chordata, Mammalia, Chiroptera, Vespertilionidae. The record is from RefSeq and is a predicted model, not a curated record.
UUAUUUUGGCUGGGCACAGUGAACUUUAUUGAUGGUGCACGACAAAGUAGGGCUCCCUAUACCUCUCCCCUUCUUCAGGGGGUCUGGGAUGGAAACAGUGGUCAGGAGAUUCUCAGUGUGUGGCUCAGGAGAUUUUCACAACAGAGGCAAGCACAGG